AUUGAACGCUGGCGGCAUGCCUUACACAUGCAAGGUCGAACGGCAGCACGGGGGCAACCCUGGUGGCGAGUGGCGAACGGGUGAGUAACAUAUCGGAACAUACCCUAGAGUGGGGAUAACGUAGCGAAAGUUACGCUAAUACCGCAUACGAUCUAAGGAUGAAAGUGGGGGAUCUUCGGACCUCAUGCUCAUGGAGUGGCCGAUAUCUGAUUAGCUAGUUGGUGAGGUAAAGGCUCACCAAGGCGACGAUCAGUAGCUGGUUUGAGAGAACGACCAGCCACACUGGAACUGAGACACGGUCCAGACUCCUACGGGAGGCAGCAGUGGGGAAUUUUGGACAAUGGGGGCAACCCUGAUCCAGCAAUGCCGCGUGAGUGAAGAAGGCCUUCGGGUUGUAAA
This 399-nucleotide ribosomal RNA is filed under the name uncultured bacterium. Its description in RNAcentral is "bacterial SSU rRNA". It matches the Rfam family "Bacterial small subunit ribosomal RNA", at positions 30 to 429 of the family's 1533-position model. The record is from RNAcentral.